Molecule: long non-coding RNA, 142 nt
Organism: Siniperca chuatsi (mandarin fish)
Lineage: Eukaryota; Metazoa; Chordata; Actinopteri; Centrarchiformes; Sinipercidae
Exons: 3
Source: RefSeq, a predicted model, not a curated record
AAAGAGGGUCCUUGUGGCGUCCUCUACAUCCUGAGGGUUCCCGGACAGAGGCAAGGCCAGACAUUGAAGGUGACUGUGUUUUGGAAAGGAGUCACCUGUUUCGGUUUGCUAUUGACCUUCCGACAAGUCUGGAAAGCCUCUG